Molecule: ribosomal RNA, 355 nt
Filed under: uncultured bacterium
Lineage: Bacteria
Description: bacterial SSU rRNA
Rfam family: Bacterial small subunit ribosomal RNA
Source: RNAcentral
GACGAAUGCUGGCGGCGUGCUUAAUACAUGCAAGUCUUAGGGGUUACUUCCCUUCGGGAAGUGAUCACUGGCGCACGGGUGAGUAACACGUAAGUAAUCUGCCCUUGGGUCUGGCAUAACUCCGGGAAACCGGGGCUAAUUCCAGAUUAUAUCGAAAGAUCAAAGCCUUCGGGCGCCCAAGGAUGAGCUUGCGUCUGAUUAGCUUGUUGGCGGGGUAAUGGCCCACCAAGGCGACGANCAGUAGCCGGUCUGAGAGGAUGAUCGGCCACAUUGGGGACUGAGACACGGCCCAGACUCCUACGGGGAGGCAGCAGUAAGGAAUAUUGCGCAAUGGACGAAAGUCUGACGCAGCAAC